Molecule: ribosomal RNA, 216 nt
Filed under: Glomeromycotina sp.
Lineage: Eukaryota; Fungi; Glomeromycota
Description: partial small subunit ribosomal RNA
Rfam family: Eukaryotic small subunit ribosomal RNA (bases 40-216)
Source: RNAcentral
GGGUCAGUAGGUUGGUCGUGCCACCGGUACGUACUGGUCUCACUGAUUCCUCCUUCUUGAAGAACCGUAAUGCCAUUAAUUUGGUGUUGCGGGGAAACAGGACUGUUACUUUGACAAAAUUAGAGUGUUUAAAGCAAGCUAACGCUUGAAUACAUUAGCAUGGAAUAAUGAAAUAGGACGAUCGAUCCUAUUUUGUUGGUUUCUAGGAUUGACGUA